Molecule: long non-coding RNA, 2973 nt
Filed under: Lepisosteus oculatus (spotted gar)
Lineage: Eukaryota; Metazoa; Chordata; Actinopteri; Semionotiformes; Lepisosteidae
Description: lncRNA (ENSLOCG00000023086.1)
Source: RNAcentral
CGAGCACCGGCGUCUAAAGGGUGCGUCCCUCGAGAGCCAAAUAUAGCACCCAUGGUCUCGCGCACUUGGCGAAAUUAUGGCGUAGCGACGCUACUUAUCGCUCCAAGUGCCGUACUUGAAAUGCAUUUGAGAAAUCUUCUUUUUGGAGUCUCUGAAAAGCCCUUUCUGUGCGUCUUGAGGCACAAGCGCGGAAAAGGAGCGAAUUUCUUUUUCUUGAUGGGUGUUGCUCUUUGUCACAAGAUUCCAAUAACUGUUUUAAUUGCGAAGCUGACAGAAAGGGAUGAUAAUAUAAUAACCAAAAUAUAACAAAAAUCAAGUUGUUGUUGUUUGUGAUAUCGAAGGAAAGGAGAAUCAGAGACUGAGAGUUCCGAACUGAAGGAAAUCUGUCUUUGAACUUGGGCGACUCCCACAUCAAGACCUACGAUUCCCAGUGGAAAACUGCACUGGCGGUGAAGUCAUCUGAAGAAUCAGGUACUUUUUAAAUAAAUAACUUUAUUUUUAUAAAUCAUUUAUACUUAUAAACCCAAUUUACACUAUAACACUAGUAUUAUACUUAUAUACGUAAAAACCAGCAUUGCGCUUAUACAAUAUACAUUUAAUAUCACCGCUGGGAGCGACUUUUAUUUCCAAUGACGAAUUACAGUUUAAGCGUUCUUUAUGAAUAAAAGUUGUUGUUAUUAUUAAGCAACGCACUCUUACUUGAUGGGUGUGUAGUGGCCCAUCUGUUUUAUUUCGCUUCAUCGCCGUGCUUUCCAGCGCAGCAGCGAACUCGCUGAAAAUGGACGCUGGGGAGGGGAGCUGUGUUGUGGUUCACAGCGGUCCGGUCCCGUGAGAGCGGCGAGUCUAAUCCAAAUGCGCAAAGGAAGCGCUCGUUGCUCGGGUGUCCACUAGGGUGCGCUCAAGGAUCGCGGACCGGGAAAAAAAAACACCUUUUUUUUUCAUUCCAGGAUAAAACUUAGCCCCCGAGAUGCUCCUGAGCCCGCGAGGGACCCCGUGUUUCCUCCUGCUGCUGGUUCUGUUCGGACAUGGGAACGGGCAAAACGCAGCCACGGGUCCUCCGGCCGGGGAGGGGGGCCUGCCCGCCCCGCGACAGGACGGCGCCGGACACUCGCUCUUGGGCCUGGCGCUGCUGGUGGUCACCGUGGCGCUGUCGGGCAGCGCCUACGUCUGCGUGCUACGUUACAUCUGCCCCGACUGCCGCCUGCCCGGCGCCGUGGGGCCGGAAGAGGAGACCCUCACUGACCACGUGUAGUCGGGACUGAUCGCAGCUCUGCUGAGAGUCCGCGACGGGCCGGAUGCUCAGUGUCUCGGGAGGGUCCAGCGACCCCACCCUGCGAGCACCUCAGAUAAUGGGCUCUGUUGCGUUCGUGCGUGCGUUCAUCAGAAGUUUUUUUUUUUCUUAACGGGCUUAAGAUCCCGCCUUUCGUUCUCUGCUGCCCGCGCCUUGAGGAGGGAGAUGUGUCCGUGAGUCUCUUGUCCCUGAUUCUUGAAGGGCCUCCUGUGAUUUUCGGACGUGGACUAGCUCUGGGGAAGACAGAAACGGCUUGUCCAUCAGUAUUCAUGUUUGCGCUCCGCGUCGGAAGGCUCUUGACUCCAUAGGCUGUCUGUUUCUCCUCUGCUGUAACUGCCGCUAAUAAACGCCUAUAAGCAGCCAGUAACUGGGGACUCCAGCUGUAAAUAAUAUUGUAACAAGGGGCCUCCCUGUGGAAAGCUUAUGAGAACAACAGAACAACUGGCCCAGGGUUUGAGUGUGUGAAGUUUAACGUAACACUGGAAUACCACAGGACCUCAGUGUGUGUUCUGCUGCAGAAUGUGCUUGUAAGGCGCCUGCAGUUCAUCAGGAGUGUAGUCAUAUAAUAAGCCUUCAUGGCUCUAUGAAUGGGGGGCCUGUUGGCACGGUGGCUAGCACUGUUGCUUCGCAGUGCUGGGGCCCUGGGCUCUCUUCCUGGGGCGCUGUGUGUGUGGAGUUUGGAUGUCUCCUCCCGGUGCUCCUGUUUCCACCCACAGUCCAGAGACAUACUGGUAGGUUCACUGGGUUUUGGGAAGACUGGCGUGUGUGUUGGUGUCGGUCUGCCCUGUGAUGGACUGGCGUCCUGUCCAGGGGGUACCCUGCCUUGUGCCCGCUGCUUGCCAGUAUAGACUCUGGCUCCCCUCUGCGACCCUGUGUUGGACAAAGCCGUUAAAAAUGGCUUCACAAGAGUGAACAACAAGAUUGUAUAGCGCAGGGCAGACACACAAACACACUCGCACCAGGGCCGGUUUUCCCAGAAGCCAGUUAACCCACCAGCAUGUCUUUAGACUGGGGGGGGUGGGGGUGGAACAAGAGCUUCUGGAGAAAACCCAGGCAAACAUGAGAGGAACAUGCAAACUCCACACAGACAGUUCUGGAAUUGAACCCAGGUCCCCAGGGCUGCAAGGCUGCGAUGCCAGCCCAAUAUACAAAUGCCCACCUCUGAAAAUUAGUGAGUAAACGCCAGUAGAGGUCACUUUGGAUAAAAGCUAACAAAGAAAUAAAUGGGGUUUAAGUGGAUGACCCGUGUGCAGGUGUGGAAGGUGGGCAGUCUGAUCCCCGGGGUGGUCCAGUGACGCUGGUGAGUGGAGAAGGGGGAUCAGGCAGGGGUCCGGGCCGCCUGCUGGGAGCAGAGAGGGGGAGUGGGGGGGUGCAGGGAGAGACGGGCAGGAGCAGGGCCCGGCAAGGUCUCGGCGCGUGAACCAGAUCCCAGCGAGAAGCGCGCAGCAGUGAAACGUUGUGCUGGCCACCAGUCUUUCCCUUCGGGCCAUUUCUUUUACUGGGGAGGGUGUGCCUUGCGCACGCGGUUCACCAGUUCUAAGUGAACUCGCUGGUCCAGUCCUCUCCCUCCACUCUCACGGGAUAUUGGUGAGAAAACCUUCACAAACAUAGACUGAAAUUUCUGUUUUCAUUAUACUACUAGAUCCUGGCCAGAGCAACAUUAUAAAUAAAGGGGUUAAACA